This 254-nucleotide ribosomal RNA is filed under the name uncultured bacterium. Its description in RNAcentral is "partial 16S ribosomal RNA". It matches the Rfam family "Bacterial small subunit ribosomal RNA", at positions 524 to 776 of the family's 1533-position model. The record is from RNAcentral.
GACGAACCGUGCGAACGUUAUUCGGAAUCACUGGGCUUAAAGCGCGUGUAGGCGGGAGGGCACGUCCGUCGCUGAAAUCCCCCGGCUCAACCGGGGAACGGGCGCGGAUACGACCGUCCUGGAGGGGCGUAGGGGGACCUGGAACUUCCGGUGGAGCGGUGAAAUGCGUUGAGAUCGGAAGGAACGCCCGUGGCGAAAGCGAGGUCCUGGACGCCUGCUGACGCUGAGACGCGAAAGCCAGGGGAGCGAACGGG